Molecule: unclassified non-coding RNA, 221 nt
Filed under: Hevea brasiliensis (rubber tree)
Lineage: Eukaryota; Viridiplantae; Streptophyta; Magnoliopsida; Malpighiales; Euphorbiaceae
Source: RNAcentral
CCUCCUUGGCCUUCUUUUUGUGAUGCUGCUUGACCUUCCUCAAAACCUUAUACUUCUGCUUCAAUGGAAUUCUUUUACUCUUACUCUUUUUGCUCUUCUUCACCAUGUUUGACUCUUUCUGAAAUGACAAUAGAGAGAAAAAAAAAAAAAAAGAGCAAAAUCGAAGAAGCCCUGGUAGUUCUGAGAAAAGGAAAUGGAGAAUAAAAAUGGGAAAGGAGACG